Long non-coding RNA from Trachemys scripta elegans, 1203 nucleotides. RefSeq lists it as uncharacterized. The transcript is spliced from 4 exons. Lineage: Eukaryota; Metazoa; Chordata; Testudines; Emydidae. The record is from RefSeq and is a predicted model, not a curated record.
GCCUAAGAGAGAGACCUGCAAUAGGCAUGAGAAACAAUGGAUUGCCAUCCUGUUUGGGUUACCAACAUUUAAGGAGCAGUGGGGCCCAGGCCAGCCAUCCCAGUGCCAAGGCACGGCCCCCUAAGGAUAGAUGAUCCAGGGAUGGAUCAGCGGACACUUGGCCCCCAUUUCCAGCUUGUCUCAGCCAGAUGACUCAAGAUGCUCAUCAGAAGAACACUUCAGUUCCCAGGAGCUCUGUCGACACAGCUGAGUUAAGCAGAGUGAAAAGAGUACACACACAAUGCUACUAAUGGAUUCAGAGGCUGUCUCUCAAAAGACACAACACAGAAGAGGCAGCCCAGAGGGAGGUGUUUUUCCUGCUUUACCUGGGCUGUCUAUGUGCUCCACUGUAGCUCAGAAUCCACAUGACUUGGAGAACUACAGCUGCUUCAGAGUCUGUCUAUUUAAGGUACCAAUAUAUCCCUCAUUACUGUAGUAUCUGAGCAUCUCACAAUAUGUAUAACACCCUGUGAGGCAGGGCAAUGCUUUUAUCCCCAUUUUACAGAAGGGCACCAAGGCACACAGAGACUAACUUGUCCAAAGUCCCUCAGGAAGCCUGCAGUGAAGCAAGGACUUAACGCAGACGUCCGGAGUCCUAGGCUAGUACCCUAACCACUGGACUAUCUUUUCCACUCAUGGACUCCUGAUUCUAUCUUUCAACAGAGAGUUUGUAAAUAUUGCUGCUUAUCACAUAGCUUUAUAAAUGACAGAUUCCGUGGAGGAAACAGAAAUAUCCCUACAUGGGUCCCCAUAAAGUUUAUGCUUUCACAUGUACGGAAGAUGAGAACUGAACCCAAAGUAACCAUCUUCCUUUUACAGAAGACACAGUCUCUAUAUGCAGCCUGGCAAAGAACCAGUCAAUAUUAAUUUCUAAAUUUACUACAAAAUAAAAAGGUUAAUAGGGUGCUACUAAAAAACACAAAAGACUGUCAACAAAUUUGUGUAGUCUGUGAUAUGUAGUUUAGUGAUGAGUCCCUAGAUGUUGGUAAUUUUUUUUUUUAAAUAAAAAGUAAAAACCAAAGACCUCAAUUGGCAGAUGUUUGGGCCAGUCUUUGUAUGAAUGGUUCCUGGUUUCCUGAAGAAUGGUUUGAAACAGCCAUUGCUGGUGCUCCAUUCAGAAUGUUUAUUGUUCUCUCUACUUUCCCAUUCUGUCAGUUGCUAUAC